UUAUUUCUAUAUAAAUUCUAUGUACGAUCAGACUGUUUUAAUAAUCUCUUAUUAAAUAAUAUUAUUUUACUACUUUGGGAACCAAUUCAGUUACACAUUUUUUAGAAGACAAUUCAAAAGUUCAGUUUUAUAUUUACCCAAAGUUGAGAGCCAAUUGAACGGUGCCUUGAGAGCCAAUUGAACGGUGCCAAACUAAAUAAUGUUGCUCUU
This is a non-coding RNA of Cinara cedri, 210 nucleotides long. The record is from the annotation of a GenBank genome assembly. NCBI's taxonomy places the organism in Eukaryota, Metazoa, Arthropoda, Insecta, Hemiptera, Aphididae.